Molecule: ribosomal RNA, 825 nt
Filed under: Acanthechiniscus goedeni
Lineage: Eukaryota; Metazoa; Tardigrada; Heterotardigrada; Echiniscoidea; Echiniscidae
Description: SSU rRNA
Rfam family: Eukaryotic small subunit ribosomal RNA
Source: RNAcentral
CCCUGACUCCUUGUGAGCACGGGCGCAGUUAUUAGAUCAAAAACCAAUCGGCCGUACUUUCGAGUAUGGUCGCUCGUUUGGUGACUCUGAGUAACCACAGCAAACCGUAUGGCCUCGUGCUCGACGGUCUGUCGAUCAAGCAACUGCCUUAUCAGCUUGUUGUUAGGUUAUAUGCCUAACAAGGCGUCAACGGGUAACGAACGAUCGGGGUCGGACAUCGGAGAGGGAGCCUGAGAAACGGCUACCACUUCCAAGGAAGGCAGCAGGCGCGCAAAUUACCCACUCCCGGAACGGGGAGGUAGUGACGAGAUGUAUCGAUGCGGGGCAAAUUUUGCCUUCGAAAUCGGAAUGAGUACACUUUAAAUCCUUUAACGAGGACCUAUUGGAGGGCAAGUCUGGUGCCAGCAGCCGCGGUAAUUCCAGCUCCAAUAGCGUAUAUUAAUGCUGCUGCGGUUAAAAAGCUCGUAGUCGGACUUGGGUUUUCGACGGGCAACGAGUGCGGCCUGUGCUGUACUUAGUUUGCUAUACGUGUCGCUUCGGCGGCACUGCCGGUUCGGUACCGCUUCAUUGUAGGCGUGCCGCGCCGGUCGUCGAGACCACGGGCUGAACCUAGCGGUAUGCUCUUUAUUGAGUGUAUUGUUAGUUCAGUGCGUUUACUUUGAAAAAAUUGGAGUGCUCAAAGCAGGCGUACAGUUGCUUUAUGCAGCCUGAACAGUGGUGCAUGGAAUAAUAGAAUAGGACCUCGGUUCUAUUUUGUUGGUUUUAAGAAUUCGAGGUAAUGAUUAAGAGGGACAGACGGGGACAUUUGUAUUGCAACGUUAGAGG